GUAUUUUCGGUAACUAUUCCGCUGUGUAAUGACAUUUCCAUGACUGCGCUGGGAUUCUAUCAGGUGUCACAGUUUUUUGGGCGAAAUGAGGACAUUAUUAUUCAUCUUAAAAGAGAGAAAAUUAGAAUGAGCUGCCGCCCCACGAGCUGCGCUCUUUUUACCCUAAAAGCUUAAAAAAGCACCUUUGAAACAGGCGCGUGGCGGGUCUCGACCCAUCACUCGGCAGACUUGAGACAGAGAUCGGAACUCGGGUCUGUCACUGCGUUUCUUAUUUGUCAACCAGAAAACCACGACAGAUAGUUUGCAUACAUUUCCAUACUCAACUCCUGUAAUAUUCAUUCUGCACGAGCGGCACUUGUAACCGUUCCUAACACCGCGGUGUGUUUUACCUUGUCCCGCGCACAAGAGGUCGGAGAUCAAAAAGCACGAGAUUCUCAGCUCUGGUUCCGACGCGGUGGAACGAGAUGCCUGUCGCACUCACAACUGCUGAAUCCCUCUCAGCAUUCAAGACGGCUCUUAAAACACAUCUCUUCUCUACCGAUGUUCGAUAUGCAUUAUACACUUUCCCAAGGCCCACGUAUGAGUUCAAUAUCCCCUGCGGAUUACAUGCAGGCACGCGAGUGUGCGUCUCGUGCGCGCGCAAAAGUCCGGGUUUCGCACCAAGCGGCUGUUGCGCGACAGACAGUCGCGUGUCUGUAUCUGUCGCUCGUCUGCACUUUUAUUUUACCUUUCAUUUCUAUUUUCCCUCCCUUGCACGUCGCUUAGUUUGGAGAAAAGUUUCCACUAAGUAUAUGAAUUGUAAGGACCUCCCUCAAAGGCAGUACCGCAGGAGUGGGAUUCGAACCGGCAACCUGUGGUCGCUGAGGCACAGCGCUCACGAUCACCUGCUGGACGUCAACGUUUGUUUUCAAAAGUUAUAAAUUAGAGGUAUGAAUAGUAACCCCCCCACCCCACCCCGGAGAUCUGCCGCUCCAGCUUUGAGUCUCUAUGUCCGUGUUUGCACUCGAACCUGUAUGUUUUCAUUCUCCAUUAAUGACUGUUUAUUUUGGUAUCAAUCAGUUGU
This 1063-nucleotide long non-coding RNA is filed under the name Scleropages formosus (Asian bonytongue). Its description in RNAcentral is "lncRNA (ENSSFOG00015031945.1)". Lineage: Eukaryota; Metazoa; Chordata; Actinopteri; Osteoglossiformes; Osteoglossidae. The record is from RNAcentral.